Long non-coding RNA from Parus major (Great Tit), 495 nucleotides. RefSeq lists it as uncharacterized. The transcript is spliced from 3 exons. The record is from RefSeq and is a predicted model, not a curated record. NCBI's taxonomy places the organism in Eukaryota, Metazoa, Chordata, Aves, Passeriformes, Paridae.
AAGCAGUGGUAUCAACACAAGCAGAGUUUCAUCAAUAAUAAGCCCUGUUAUUAUAUACAUUAUUGCAGUAGACAAAUCCAAUUGACGCAUGCUGCAGCAAAUCACUGUCAGUUUACUGUCAAAAUAACAAGGGCUAAAUGAAUUUACAGGAACAAUGGCAGAGAUCCAUCAGUGGUCCUCACAUCUAAAGCACUGCUGGAGAAGAAACAUUCAGAAACCAUUCCUCCUGCUCCACUUUUUAUGCUUAAAAGAAAAUAUUUCUGUCCUGUACCAGUUAAGGGUACAAGAUUGUUUGGUUGGUUUUUUUAUUGUUUGGUUUUUCCAUUCUGUUGUAAUCAGCUGAAAAUAGACUAGAAAAGCAAUAUCAAAUAGCAUAUCUUUCAAGUCUCACAUUCUGAUCUUCUCUGUGGGGAAAAUAUUAGUUAAUCAGUGCUGGUGAAUGGAGGUGGCUGAUAUGAAAGAGGUGCAACAAGAUGGAACUUGUCUUUGCUGCUU